Molecule: ribosomal RNA, 119 nt
Filed under: Cavia aperea (Brazilian guinea pig)
Lineage: Eukaryota; Metazoa; Chordata; Mammalia; Rodentia; Caviidae
Source: RNAcentral
GUCUAUGGCCAUACCACCCUGAACGUGCCCAAUCUCGUCUGAUCUCGGAAGCUAAGCAGGGUCGGGCCUGGUUAGUACUUGGAUGGGAGACCACCUGGGAAUACCAGGUGCUGUAGGCU